Molecule: ribosomal RNA, 401 nt
Filed under: uncultured bacterium
Lineage: Bacteria
Description: bacterial SSU rRNA
Rfam family: Bacterial small subunit ribosomal RNA
Source: RNAcentral
GGGGAAUCUUGCGCAAUGGGGGAAACCCUGACGCAGCAACGCCGCGUGCGGGACGAAGGCUCUCGGGUCGUAAACCGCUUUCAGGAGGGAAGAAAAUGACGGUACCUCCAGAAGAAGCCCCGGCCAACUACGUGCCAGCAGCCGCGGUAACACGUAGGGGGCGAGCGUUGUCCGGAUUUAUUGGGCGUAAAGAGCUCGUAGGCGGCUUGGUAAGUCGGGUGUGAAACCUCCAGGCUCAACCUGGAGACGCCACUCGAUACUGCUAUGGCUAGAGUCCGGUAGGGGAGCGUGGAAUUCCUGGUGUAGCGGUGAAAUGCGCAGAUAUCAGGAGGAACACCAGCGGCGAAGGCGGCGCUCUGGGCCGGAACUGACGCUGAGGAGCGAAAGCGUGGGGAGCGAAC